This 440-nucleotide ribosomal RNA is filed under the name uncultured bacterium. RNAcentral describes it as "bacterial SSU rRNA". It matches the Rfam family "Bacterial small subunit ribosomal RNA", at positions 355 to 786 of the family's 1533-position model. The record is from RNAcentral.
UAGGGAAUUUUCGUCAAUGGGCGCAAGCCUGAACGAGCAAUGCCGCGUGAACGAGGAAGGUCUUCGGAUCGUAAAGUUCUGUUGAGAGGGAAAAAGGGUCACCAGAGGAAAUGCUGGUGAAGUGAUAUUACCUUUCGAGGAAGUCACGGCUAACUACGUGCCAGCAGCCGCGGUAAUACGUAGGUGGCGAGCGUUAUCCGGAAUGAUUGGGCGUAAAGGGUGCGUAGGCGGCCUGUUAAGUCUGAAGUGAAAGGUACCGGCUCAACCGGUACAGGCUUUGGAAACUGGCAGGCUGGAGGACAGGAGAGGGCGGUGGAACUCCAUGUGUAGCGGUAAAAUGCGUAGAUAUAUGGAAGAACACCAGUGGCGAAGGCGGCCGCCUGGCCUGUUACUGACGCUGAGGCACGAAAGCGUGGGGUAGCAAAGUAGGAUUAGAUACC